Molecule: long non-coding RNA, 925 nt
Filed under: Capsicum annuum
Lineage: Eukaryota; Viridiplantae; Streptophyta; Magnoliopsida; Solanales; Solanaceae
Description: long non-coding RNA (CANN_LNC021824)
Source: RNAcentral
CGAAUUAGUUCUACUCUUAAUUGGGGCGAUAUAAGUAUAUAACCAUAUUUGUUAGUUUCUCUUUCUAGUGUCAUGGAACGGUCGGUAUAAAUCCAGAUCACAAUUUCCUUCGUGCAAGCCUCCAUAUGAUAAGAUUCUUAUCUUUGUAGUCUUAGACAUGCCACGUGAAAAGUUAGAACCAAAGAGUUGCAAAAAAAGGAAAGAGGCAUUCUUCCUGAGACGGACUAAAAAGGAAAGUAAGAUAAAUAAAUUGAAAUUGAGGGAGUGUAACUUAAGGAUCUACCAGGGUUGAGAGUGAUUAGAACAAAUGACCAAUCACAUGGUUGCUCAAAGAAAAUUGACUUGCAUGUGAGAGCAUGGGGUGCUAGAGCAGUGAACAUGAUUAACAGAUCCUUUUGUUUCUAAUUAUGUAAACUCUUAGAUGAGAUAAAGCCAAAUAAUUCAAUUUUUUUGGUAACCAAAAGAAACACCAAUAAUUCAAUCUCAUAGACCUAUAUUGUUAGCUAAUUCUCAUCACUUGUAAAUUGUGAAUCUAGUGAUAUAUAGUUACUUUGGGGAUCUUCUGCAAAGUGACUAUCUUGGCGUACAUUUCCCUGCUCGAAACAUAAAAUACAAGAGAAAGGGAUAAAGAUAAACAAGGGCACACCUACUCUCCAACAUAUUUGUUCGUGCUAUAUAAGCAACCUACAUUCUCUCUUUAAAUGUCUGCUUCUUUUAGUUGUUUAGAUGAUGCACUCCAAUUUAACUGCAGAGUGUAGAUGCUUUCUUUCAAUCCCAAGAUGAGUAACGUGUUUGAGUAAAAUUCUAGGCAAAGAGGAUUGAAAAUGGUGUGUACCUGGGGCCUCUUGGAUUCUUGACAUUUGAAGGGCCAUUUUCAUGGAAGAAUAGGAUUUUAGCUUUCGUGUUUGAGCGGCUUCGGAUAAAA